AACGCACCUUGCGCUCCUUGGUAUUCCGAGGAGCAUGCCUGUUUGAGUGUCAUGGAAUUCUCAACUCUAUUUGCUUUUGUGAAUAGAGCUUGGAUUUGGAGGUUUAUUGCUGGUACUUGUGAUCGGCUCCUCUUGAAUGCAUUAGCUCGAACCUUUGCGGAUCAGCUAUCGGUGUGAUAAUUGUCUACGCCGUUGCAGUGAAGCAUAUCAAUGGGCUCGGCUUCCAAUCGUCCUUUACUGGACAAUGACUUUGACCUUUGACCUCAAAUCAGGUAGGAUUACCCGCUGAACUUAA
RNAcentral lists this unclassified non-coding RNA (295 nucleotides) under uncultured fungus. RNAcentral describes it as "partial contains 5.8S rRNA and ITS2". The stretch from base 1 to 52 matches the Rfam family "5.8S ribosomal RNA", at positions 103 to 154 of the family's 154-position model. Lineage: Eukaryota; Fungi. The record is from RNAcentral.